RNAcentral lists this ribosomal RNA (603 nucleotides) under uncultured fungus. RNAcentral's name for it is "eukaryotic LSU rRNA". It matches the Rfam family "Eukaryotic large subunit ribosomal RNA", at positions 23 to 641 of the family's 3401-position model. The record is from RNAcentral. Lineage: Eukaryota; Fungi.
ACCCGCUGAACUUAAGCAUAUCAAUAAGCGGAGGAAAAGAAACCAACAGGGAUUGCCCUAGUAACGGCGAGUGAAGCGGCAACAGCUCAAAUUUGAAAUCUGGCGUCUUUGGCGUCCGAGUUGUAAUUUGCAGAGGGCGCUUUGGCAUUGGCAGCGGUCCAAGUUCCUUGGAACAGGACAUCACAGAGGGUGAGAAUCCCGUACGUGGUCGCUAGCCUUUACCGUGUAAAGCCCCUUCGACGAGUCGAGUUGUUUGGGAAUGCAGCUCUAAAUGGGAGGUAAAUUUCUUCUAAAGCUAAAUACUGGCCAGAGACCGAUAGCGCACAAGUAGAGUGAUCGAAAGAUGAAAAGCACUUUGGAAAGAGAGUUAAAAAGCACGUGAAAUUGUUGAAAGGGAAGCGCUUGCAGCCAGACUUGCCUGUAGUUGCUCAUCCGGGUUUUUACCCGGUGCACUCUUCUAUAGGCAGGCCAGCAUCAGUUUGGGCGGUUGGAUAAAGGUCUCUGUCAUGUACCUCUCUUCGGGGAGAACUUAUAGGGGAGACGACAUGCAACCAGCCCGGACUGAGGUCCGCGCAUCUGCUAGGAUGCUGGCGUAAUGGCUGU